UGUACAACUGUAAAAUUUUUUAUUUCGAAAAAAUAACUUCCUUUGAAAGUCGGUCGGCAGCGGUCGGCAGUGUCAAUACAGAACGUAUUCAAUCAAUGUGAGGGAAAAUGGCGAAGGAUGAAAAGCUUGGUAAAUGGGUAGAGGCGAUGACACCACGUCAUGCAAUUGAAAACUUCUUUGAUCAUGCAACACUAGUUGAUUCACCCAAUCCCGAAGAGCUGUACAAGUCUUCCCCGAAUUCAGCUCUCACAGAAAUUCCAGAAUCCACACCUUUAGCUGGAAGUUCUCAAAGCAGCCAGAGAAGUGGUUGGAAAAGAAAGUCUGACCAUGAAGAGCAAUAUCAUGGAAAUGGUUCUAAAAGAAUUAAUGCUGAAGAGAUUGAAAUGUCUUUGAGUGAUUCCGUUUCUGACACAGUUGCAUUUCCUUCCAAGCUAGAAAGUCCUCAUCUGGUUAUUCCACAAAAGACAGAAUUAAAAAUCAAGAAAAGGAUGUCAGUUAGUGCAUUCACAAAAGCAAUUCAAAGUCAAGAGCCACAAGAAAGCAAUGUUACGAUGAAUGAAUCUAGUAUUGCUUCUGCAUUAGGAAGCCCAGAUGAUACACUUUCUCACCACCCAAGGAGAUUGGAGAAUCAUACAUCUGUAUCAGAUUUUGCAGAAACUCUAGGGAAGAAAGUCAUGAAAACAAUUAUUAAAGAUGAUUCAUCAAGCAUGGAAAAUGCUAGUGUUUUGUCCCAUCUAGACAGCCCCGAGCAUAUCAGCUAUAAAAAGCGUGGAACUGGCGUAGAAAAGAAACGGGCCUCGUCUACGGGCUUCAAAAGCAUUUUGAAUAAACGUUCGUUACAUAAAGAUAACCUGUCAGAAGAUGAAUCAACGGACCACUCAAUUACAUCAUCUACAAUCCUUACGGAACGGCAUGCGAAAAGCCCGCGAAUGUCCCCGGCCUUUGAACCGAUGCCUUCUAUCCCCUUAGAAGUCCACUCGCAGAUAGAGAAAACGCCCUCUAAAAUUCGAUCUGAUGCUCCUUCAUCUAACAGUGAUUCUGAAUUGUACGAAGGCAUGCCAGACUUGGAAUCCCCAGAUGAUUUCUCACCUCCUGGUUCAACUAUCGAGGUCCUCAACAGUAAGUCGUCAGAGCUGCUAGAAGUUACAAAGCAUUCUCAGAUUUCAAUAAGAGAAAAAAACGAAACAAUCCAGUCCAGUCCGUUUGUUUCGCAAAACGAGAAAAGUUUUGCCUCAGGCAACGUUAGCAAUUCAACUUCUGAUGUCCCUUCAGUAUUGGGCAGUCCACAGGAAUAUAAAGAAUAUCACCGACCCGGACAUAUGCCCUCGAAGAAAAAAGUUUCUGCAACUGGAUUCUUGGCCACCCUCAGCCAGACCGUUAAUUUUCAGUCGCGGAAGUCUCCGAAUAGGUUGCCUACAUCGAAGUAUUCUAAACGGACAUCAAUAGGAAAUGCCUCAGAAAAAACUGACGAAGAUCUGCGUCGGAACACUCCUUCGCCUCUGCUCGAGCAAUUGGGAAGGGUUACACGUAGCUCUAGCCAAGCCUUCGAUAUAACGCUUGUUUCUCCGGAAACAAGCGCUAGGAAAACCCGUACCCUAGAAUCGAAUCGCAGUGACUCAGACGAUUCUGCUCGUCAAUUGGUGAACAAAAAUCCAACGGCAUUAGUCAUGGAAAUGGAUGAAAUGCCGCAAAAUUCAAGUCAAACUUCCUUGAUUGAAGAUGAUUUCUCACCUCCUGGUUCAACUAUCCAGGUCAUCAAUAGAAAGUCUUCAGAGUUGCUAGAUGUUGCAAAGCACUCACCGAUUUCAAUUAGAGAAAAAAACGAAACAAAUCAGUCCAUUCCACGUGUUUUGCAAAACGAGAAAAGUUUUGCCUCAGGCAGCGUUAGCAAUUCAACUUCUGAUGUCCCUUCAGUAUUGGAUAGUCCACAGGAAUAUAAAGAAUAUCUCCGACCCGGGCAUAUGCCCUCGAAGAAAAAAAUUUCUUCAUCUGGAUUCUUGGCCACCGUCAGCCAGACAGUUGACUUUCAGUCGCGAAAGUCCCCGAUUAGAUCGUUUACAUCGGCUUCUGAACGGACAUCAAAAGGAAAUGACUCAGAAGAAACCGGUGAACUUCUGCGUCGGAACACUCCUUCGCCUCUGCCCGAGAAAUUAGGAAGGGUUACACGUAGCUCUAGCCAAGCCUUCGAUAAAGCGUUUGUUUCUCCGAAAACAAGCGCUAGGAAAACCCCUACCCUAAAAUCGAAACGAAGGGACACAAACGAGUCAGCUCAUCAAUUGGUGAACAAGAGUCCUACGGAAUCAGUCAUGGAAAUGGAUGAAAUGCCACAAAAUUCCAGACGAAAUUCCAAGAGAUCAUCGAAGGCAGCUUUUAAGAUAAUCGAACAUACGCAAGCAGAAGGAAGUCAUUCGGAUAAAGCAGUUGGUAUCCCGUUGAACGUAACCCCAUCAAAACUUACUAAUGAAAUGCGACAAGGAUCGAGCAGUUCUAGCCGAAUCGCCAACAUAUCAUCAGUAACAUCAAACCCUAGCCCGAAGAAUAUCCCACAUCCAGAAUUAGAUGACCAAGUAACAAAGGAUUCUGAAGAUAUCUUGCCAAUGCAGAUAAAAAAAUCAUUGUCCUUGUUCGAAAUCGCCUCGCCUAUUUUAGCACCAGUCGAAGCUAGAGUCUCUUCCGCUUCGUUAUCGCCCAAAAGACGCACGCGAAAAUCUCUUAAUUUUAGCACUCCAACUAUCAAAGACAGUACCCCAGCAACCCCAGCUACAGAAGAUGGUCUACCACCCAUCGACGAAGUCAUUGAAGAAACUCCCCCGACUGAUCUUGAUUCAAUGGAAGAAGACGCUUUCGAAGAUGAGCGCCCUAUUGGGGGAAUAGAAAAGGAAGUUGAAGCAGAAGACGGCCAUCCGACUCCGAAAACAGUAACACGUUCUUCUCGUGAACUUAAUCAGUUAACUCGCAAGUCCAACAGCUUGCAAAUGACUUCAACUAAUCGAUACCCUGCCUUGAAGAAUUCCACUAUAGUAGCAGGAGGGAGUGCAUUUGCCGGAGUUACACUCAGCAUGUCACCUAUUGUACCAGACAAACAAGGUGCCCCUUUGCGUGUACCCCCAUCUCCAAGACCUACCACACCAGAGUCGCCAAAAACAGUGGCACAGUUUAGUGCUAAAGAUAAAUCAACUCCGCCAAAGAAUCUUCCUAAAGUCUCUUCGCAUCCGUCAACUCCUGCCCCUUUUGCUAGAAAACGAACACGCUCCUUGACACAGAGUCCAAUGUAUAUGAAUGUCAUGAAAUCGUCCAUGCAAAAAGUCAUCAGCAAGACCGUUAAAGAUCAACAGCUAUUGGUUCCUACUGUUGCAUCUACGUCUGCAGACAAAAAUGUCACUACUCCCAAACCACUCUCAUCCGUCAAGGGACUGAGCCUUUCGAAUUCCAAAAAAGGGAAAUCGAUAGCUUUGUCGGCAUUUGAUGAAGUGCAUGAAUCUUCUGAUACGGAAUGGGAAGACAUGGAAGAAAAUAUAAAGCCCAAACCAGCCUGCAUUAAAAUUGCAUUCGAGGAAAUACCAGAUAGAUCCAAGGAUUUCGUACCAUUUGAAGAACGGCUGAUGGCAGAUCCAGUCUUUCAAGCAAAGGUGAGUAGACAACGGACAAAAUUGGCUGCCCAAAAAGCGGCUGAGGAGGCAGUAGCAGCAGCAGCAAAAAAAACGACCUAUAAGAGAAAACAGCGCGUUAUCAAGAAGAAAGAAGAAGAUAACAUAGCGAGUGUUGCGACCAACAAAGGCAACUUCCGCUUCUAUGCACGCGCUAAGGUGACUAAAGAUGCUUUGGAAGUUGUUCACGGAUUGGUUGGUGAAUGGUUUGACUUCACCCUUCGUCAAAUAGAAAAGUAUUGCAUUGAUGAAGGUAAAGCGUCCUUGGACACUUGGCAAGACUGCUACAAAGUUAUGAAAAGGCAGGGCCUGGCUAAAAAUUAUGCAGAAUACGCUGGUCUGUGCCAUGACUUACUCAUGAAUGAUGAAUGCGAAGAACUUCUCCCUACCCGCCCCCCACCUGAAUAUGCCGAAUGGAAACGCGAAGCCCAAAAACGAAACAAAUGACUUGGUCGCUGGGUUGUUUGUUUUUUUAUAUUCAUUUUUCAUCCGAACCGUUUUGUUUUCUUUGUUACCAUUCCUUAAUGAUCAGGGAAACAGUUCGCCAUUUGGUAGCUCUAGCCGAGGGAGCUUUCCUGUUCCGAGCGUUUAUUUUAUUUUAUUUUUAGUUGAACACAGAAAUACAAAAUCAGAAGACAA
This 4286-nucleotide unclassified non-coding RNA is filed under the name Daphnia magna. RNAcentral describes it as "mucin-5AC, transcript variant X3". Lineage: Eukaryota; Metazoa; Arthropoda; Branchiopoda; Diplostraca; Daphniidae. The record is from RNAcentral.